RNAcentral lists this ribosomal RNA (573 nucleotides) under Salmonella enterica subsp. enterica serovar Muenchen. RNAcentral's name for it is "partial 23S ribosomal RNA". It matches the Rfam family "Bacterial large subunit ribosomal RNA", at positions 711 to 1266 of the family's 2925-position model. RNAcentral also lists the same sequence under 1 other name. The record is from RNAcentral. Lineage: Bacteria; Pseudomonadati; Pseudomonadota; Gammaproteobacteria; Enterobacterales; Enterobacteriaceae.
AGACCCGAAACCCGGUGAUCUAGCCAUGGGCAGGUUGAAGGUUGGGUAACACUAACUGGAGGACCGAACCGACUAAUGUUGAAAAAUUAGCGGAUGACCUGUGGCUGGGGGUGAAAGGCCAAUCAAACCGGGAGAUAGCUGGUUCUCCCCGAAAGCUAUUUAGGUAGCGCCUCGUGAAUUCAUCUCCGGGGGUAGAGCACUGUUUCGGCUAGGGGGCCAUCCCGGCUUACCAACCCGAUGCAAACUGCGAAUACCGGAGAAUGUUAUCACGGGAGACACACGGCGGGUGCUAACGUCCGUCGUGAAGAGGGAAACAACCCAGACCGCCAGCUAAGGUCCCAAAGUCAUGGUUAAGUGGGAAACGAUGUGGGAAGGCCCAGACAGCCAGGAUGUUGGCUUAGAAGCAGCCAUCAUUUAAAGAAAGCGUAAUAGCUCACUGGUCGAGUCGGCCUGCGCGGAAGAUGUAACGGGGCUAAACCAUGCACCGAAGCUGCGGCAGCGAACGUAUCACCCAAGACAACUUUGCGGAGUUGACGAUUGACGGAGCGAAGCGACGUCAAAGCGUUCAUUAAA